UACGGAGGGUGCAAGCGUUAAUCGGAAUUACUGGGCGUAAAGCGUGCGUAGGCGGCUUUCUAAGUCGGAUGUGAAAUCCCCGGGCUCAACCUGGGACGUGCAUUCGAUACUGGAAGGCUAGAGUUUGAGAGAGGCAGGUAGAAUUUCAGGUGUAGCGGUGAAAUGCGUAGAUAUCUGAAGGAACAUCAGUGGCGAAGGCGACCUGCUGGACCAAAACUGACGCUGAGGUACGAAAGCGUGGGGAGCAAACAGG
Molecule: ribosomal RNA, 253 nt
Filed under: uncultured bacterium
Lineage: Bacteria
Description: partial 16S ribosomal RNA
Rfam family: Bacterial small subunit ribosomal RNA
Source: RNAcentral